This is a non-coding RNA of Rattus norvegicus (Norway rat), 572 nucleotides long. The record is from RefSeq and is a predicted model, not a curated record. NCBI's taxonomy places the organism in Eukaryota, Metazoa, Chordata, Mammalia, Rodentia, Muridae.
AUGUAAUGCCCCGGAGUGACAUAUCUACAAGCAAGGGGGACGCAGCUCUGAGCAGAAGGCCUCAGAACAGAGCAAACAAACAGGAGAUGUUUCCUGAUGCCCUGUACAAGAAGAUGUAAGACAGGAACAUAAAGGAGCACACAAUCCAAGAGGGACUGAAUACCGACAGAAGAGACUGCUUUUCUUCUACUGUGGAAUAUUAACAUUUGUCAUAAGAACAAUGCUACCAAAAAACAAAAGAUCAAGGGCGAAUUAAUUUCCACAGAUCCCCACGUAUCCAGUGGGACCAGAGACUAAAGUGAGAUCCCAGAAGUUGAAAGCAUGUGUCUACCAUGUGACUUGAGUGACAGAAGAGUCCUCUCAUCUGAGUGGUUUGUGCCACUUCAUGCCACCACCAGUCUAGCUCACUCAUAGCCCUAGAGAAAGAAGCCUGAAAAUGGAGGGCCAAAAGACACCAAACCUCCUUCCCAUGAGGCCACAGGAAUACAUGUGUCCGCAUAGCCUUGGCAGGCUGAUUGUGAAAGAAGACAAUGUCUCCAGUUAGGAAGAUAAUGUAUUGGAGUAAUAAAGAG